GCUGCUAAGGUCCAGCCCAAAGACAUUGCUUCUGUUGCCUCUAGGUAUCUCAUGCGCCACUGUUGCUUCUGUAGUCAAUGCUUUUGAAUCUCCUGGCAAUUCCUACAAUCACAAAUCACAAAGCUGGAUCAGUAAACUGUUAACUAGUCAUCUUAGAAGAGGAAAUUUACACAAUAAUGAGUCCUCCCUUUCUCGGACGUGUACAAAUUUCCAUGCGAAAUGUCUCUUCUACUGCCUAUUCGAACUAAAUUCCAGCAACCCAACUCUGCACAUAAUUCACAACAUAAAUCAGCAAUCCAGCAAUCUUAACAAUUGCAAGCCACAUGGACAGUUUAAACAAAUCAAAUAAUGAAUCAAAAA
This 360-nucleotide long non-coding RNA is filed under the name Vigna radiata. RNAcentral describes it as "long non-coding RNA (VRAD_LNC017814)". Lineage: Eukaryota; Viridiplantae; Streptophyta; Magnoliopsida; Fabales; Fabaceae. The record is from RNAcentral.